UUCGCAAUGCCCGAAAGGGUCUGAUCUAUCCCUGGAGGAAGCACGGGCUAAGUUCGUGCCAGCAGCCGCGGUAAGACGAACCGUGCGAACGUUAUUCGGAAUCACUGGGCUUAAAGCGCGUGUAGGCGGAUGGGAACGUCGGAAUCUGAAAGCCCCCGGCUCAACCGGGGAAGUGGAGCCGAAACGACCUGUCUGGAGGGACGUAGGGGGACCUGGAACUUCCGGUGGAGCGGUAAAAUGCGUUGAGAUCGGAAGGAACGCCCGUGGCGAAAGCGAGGUCCUGGACGUCUUCUGACGCUGUGACGCGAAAGCUAGGGGAGCAAACGGGAUUAGAUACCCCGGUAGUCCUAGCCGUAAACGAUGGGCACUAAGUAGAGGGGUUUUAAUC
This 388-nucleotide ribosomal RNA is filed under the name uncultured Planctomycetota bacterium. RNAcentral describes it as "bacterial SSU rRNA". It matches the Rfam family "Bacterial small subunit ribosomal RNA", at positions 451 to 836 of the family's 1533-position model. Lineage: Bacteria; Pseudomonadati; Planctomycetota. The record is from RNAcentral.